UAGGGAAUAUUGGGCAAUGGUCGAGAGACUGACCCAGCCAUGCCGCGUGCAGGAUGAAGGCUUUCUGAGUCGUAAACUGCUUUUAUCAGGGAAGAAUAAGGUCUAUGCGUAGACUGAUGACGGUACCUGAGGAAUAAGCACCGGCUAACUCCGUGCCAGCAGCCGCGGUAAUACGGAGGGUGCGAGCGUUGUCCGGAUUUAUUGGGUUUAAAGGGUGCGUAGGCGGCCAAAUAAGUCUGGGGUGAAAGCCCGCUGCUCAACAGCGGAACUGCCCUGGAUACUGUAUGGCUUGAGGACAGACGAGGUUGGCGGAAUAGAGGGUGUAGCGGUGAAAUGCAUAGAUACCCUCUAGAACCCCGAUUGCGAAGGCAGCUGACUAGACUGUAUCUGACGCUGAGGCACGAAAGCGUGGGGAGCGAACAGG
Molecule: ribosomal RNA, 424 nt
Filed under: uncultured bacterium
Lineage: Bacteria
Description: bacterial SSU rRNA
Rfam family: Bacterial small subunit ribosomal RNA
Source: RNAcentral